This 1024-nucleotide long non-coding RNA is filed under the name Sus scrofa (pig). RNAcentral's name for it is "lncRNA (ENSSSCG00070028193.1)". The record is from RNAcentral. Lineage: Eukaryota; Metazoa; Chordata; Mammalia; Artiodactyla; Suidae.
GAUCACCUGAGUCAUCACACCCAGUGGGGACAGGACCUGAGGGCCACAGCCGACAAGUCCUCAAGGCUGUCUGGUGUGGCCUCUGGCAUCUAUUCUGGGCUCAGGCUCUGGGGUUAGGACACGGCCAGGGAUUGAGACAUGACCGGGAAAUUCCUCUCUGAUGCAGUGUUUUCCAGGCACCACUGGGAUUUCUGUUCCCUGGAUAGACUUCACUCCUUCCACGAGGCAGGGGGAAGAGGUGGCCCAGAGAACAAAAUGCCAGUCCCUGGAGUCCGUCCUGGGGCUCCCAGCUUGCACACUCAGCCACCCCACAGAGCCUUGGGGGGCGCCGGACUUGUCAUCCACUGAUAAGGGACAGGUCUGCCCCAGGAUUUCCACUGCUCUCAGGCAUCAAAGGGGGACACACCCCCCACCUCUCACCCCAGCACUCCCAGGCCCCAGGCCAAGCUCUGGUGACCUUGACUUCAAGGAAUAUUUUAGCCACAGACAGCCGUCCAGGGCUCCAACUCCGCUGUUCCUCCAUUUCUCCCACCCCACCCCAAACACAUGGCCAGCCGCACAGCCACCACCCUCCAGCCAGUGUAGUCAGCCUGGGUGUCCCCCUGCCAGCACAGUGAUCACCAUCACUGUUGCCACUGAACCUCAUGGCUUCCCCUGCAGCCUCCCCGCCCAUGAGGGCCAGGUGGGAGCUCAAGGACCCUCUCAGACACCCCUGAUUUUUCAGGGAGGCAGUUUAAGCGCAGAGAGUACGCAUUCAAGAUCUCACGCCAGUUUCACUACCUGCCUGCUCUCUGAUGGUCCCCGGCCAGGACGGGAAGCCCGUGGACCUCAGUUUCCUCAUCCGUGCAAUGGGGUAACACCGGCUUCAUAAGCCUGGUGGCUGACCAUGGCCAGGGGCCCAUCCCAGACCCCUCUUUGUAACAAGGAGUGGGCCUGUGUAGAUAAUUGUGUCACAUCCAAGGCCAGGAAGGAUGUUCCUCACCCCAGGGCUGGACACUGGGCAGCCAUAGGCUUUCCCUUUCCC